Long non-coding RNA from Gallus gallus (chicken), 4068 nucleotides. NCBI's taxonomy places the organism in Eukaryota, Metazoa, Chordata, Aves, Galliformes, Phasianidae. The record is from Ensembl.
CUGGGCGAUUCCCGAAGAAACGGGGGAGGUUUGGGGGGAACGGCGGAGGAGGGCGAUGAGCCGAGCGGGCUGCGGGAAGGCGCAGCGUGCAAACGCGUGCUUCCCUACGGCUUCCAGCGCGGAAUCGCGGCGCGUCCCGGCAUGGGAGGGACCCCCGAGGAGCGUCGGGCUCCGCACGGCAGCGCCCCGCGGCCUCUGCCCUCCGUCUGCAGCUCCAUCCCGCACAGCCCGCUGAUGUCUGCGGCCGUCCGAGCCCACGGCGGGACGUCCCCGUCCGGGUGGCGGAUCCCCAGGGCUGUGCGGUGCUUCCCCUGCAUUCAGCACAGCGAUCCCAGCCCUUAUCCCUGCCCCGGCGCUGCCCGGCGCGGCCCCGUGGCGCAGCGCGGACCCCCAAUUGCUCACGGACACCCGACGGGGCGGUGGGAUUCGGGGUGAGGAGGCGGCGCGCUCUGUUGGCAGGGCGGAGGGGUGGGGAGUCCCAGAGGGACACACUUGGGAUGGAGAGACCCAACAGAGAGCCCACGUUUUGGCUGGUGGGAUGGAGAGCCCCACGCGGGCAGUGCGCAGCGAGGCUUUACCUCCUGCAGCAGACAGGAGGCAAGAAGGGCAAGAAAACGGGCUGAGGGAAUUAAAGCCCAUCGUAACGCCCUCCAAAGGGGCACACUGAGGGCACAGACCGUCCUUAAACACCGCUUCCUUCCCCCAUAUAAAUACUCGGUAUGGCAAUAAAGCAAAAAGAAAAGGCCGCGGUGCCCGGAGAGCCCCCCCAGCACCACACAGAGCCCUCCCCGCCCCUCACUGCAGCACAGGGGGUCCUUCUGCCCAACCCCACACACAGAAGGCAAAACCGUUCCCACUGCGCUGCCUCGGUGACCUCACGGCCCUCAGCGAGGAGCCGGGCUGUAAUCAUGGCUCACGUGUUAUUGGCGGCUUGGAAGCAUUUAUUCUUAAGAGGGGACCGGUUGGGAGACAGGCGCUUCAAAGGACUCCGGAGAAAGCAAACAAUUAUGGACAAAUCACCUCCACACACACAGACACCGGGAAUCGAAACGCAAAGGGCAGAGGGCUGUCUGUACAGGGAGAUGAAGCAACUGUUUGUCUCCUUGAAGCACCACCCUGCGUGUGCGUUACGUUAACCGUCCAAAGCAGGCAAAACCAGAUGAAAGCAUAAAUAGAAACCCAUGAGCUCACAGCCCCGGGCCCUCCAGGCCUAGCUGCACAGCCAGGGACGCAGCACGGAGACGUGCUGAGGGCACUGGGAGUUCCAGCCUCACACCGUGCUGUAUGCUGGGCUGUGCAGCUCACAGCCUGCUCCCACAUUGCCCACUGCUGGAGCACUCCGUGUCCUCCCAGCAGGCUGACAGGACACCACGCAGCACAGCACUGCACAGCAUGCUGUCGUGCAGCAGUUUGGGAUGUGCUCUAUGGGAAAGGGAAACUUGCAAACCUCUCUUCCUGCCGUGGGGUUCCUCCCCGCUGCUCGCUGAGCGUGGCACAUCAGCAGGCUGUCCUGCAAAGGAAGAGGUGAUUUUGCUUGGAACUCCGCUGCCAUGGCCGAGCAUUGCCACACUGAGCAGCCACCGGGCACAGCCGUAACUUCGAGCUCUGCAACUGCAAAGGUUGUUUUGCAAAGCUCCGAAGUGGGGCUGUGCAGAGAGCGCCGUUCGCAGCUGCAGUGUGAGGGCAGUGAGGAACAGAUGGGCUGCUAUGGAAAUGGGGAGGAAGAGCCCCUGGAGGUGAGGGGAGUUUGGAAGUCGUGUGCAGACACAGUUCAACUUCCAAGCUUAUCCCAGUGAUGGGUAAGGAUAACUGCUAAGGAUAAUUUCCUCCCGAAGGCUUUUUUACGACACCACAUUCGGUUUGCAUUGAAUGUUCAGGGUGAGCUGAGGCUGACAUCAGAAAAUUCAUCCGUGGAGAAGAUUUCUUCAUCCAUGGAAAGAAAAGGACUUCUUGUGCCCACCUCCCCCUUAAGGCUCAGCACUGAGAGGCAUCCCAGUCACUGUAGGUACAGACAGUGGGAAAGGAGACUCCACAAACCCCAGCUCUUGGGACCCAGCCAUGGCACAGCACAACCCGGUGCUAUUGGGGAGCCCAGCACACGGAUUGCUGCUGGCGGCGGACUUUGACCUCUGGAAGACCAACGGGAAAAGCUCAAUCCACAAAUCCCAAGGACUUUUCGUCUCGUUACACAACACGGCAGUCAGGUCCCCAACCUAAACAUGUCCGGCCAUGGCAGAACCCAAACCUGGCAGGUGAGUAUUGGAGUUCUUAUGUUCAUGAUGUGGGUCCAGAACAACCACGGUUGACUACAAGAGUAGGGAUUGAGAGGAGCCCUUUUCAGGAGCAACACUGAAGGGUGGGAGGUCUGCAGUGAAGGUACAGCAGGAGGCAGAGCCCAGAGCCCGCAGGCUGAGAACUUCUGCUCACCUUCUUUGCAGUUACUGGAACACGGAGGGUGGGCAAAUAGCAACUUAAAUGAUAAGCAGCCUCCUCGUAGUGCUCUGCAUGAAGCAGAGUUCACAGACAUUCGGAGCAAGGCGUUAUUAGGGUUCUGAAAGGAUGGGUAUCACUCAGCUGAAAGUAAAUGUUAACAUCUACAAGGUGAGCUUCUAGAAGGGUGAUCAUCCAUCGGUCUCAGGGCACAAGCCACACUCUGCCUCGUGGGGCUUAGGGGAGGUUCCUGCAAGGUGCCCAACACCUGGAGAGCUCCAAGGGAGCGAGGGGCUGUGCCUACCCAUAACAGCACCAAAUACUGAGAGCAGCCGUGAGCCGAGACAGCCAUGGCUGUGCCUGGGCAGGGAGGGGUUCAGGAGGGGCGGAGGAGAGCCACGACUGGCAGGCCAAGCAAUGGUAGCUGCACACACAGCGGGUUCACUGCGGGCUUUUUGCAUCCCCACCUUCCUGGAUGUGUGCUCCAAUUCACAAGAGGUACUCUGGUUAUUCCGUGACACAAGGCGGGGUAAGAAGCUCGCUCUGACCUCAUCUUUUGCCCUACUUCCUUAUCUCGGAAUCUGGUGCACAGUGCCACACUUGUUCUCCCACAUAGUUUCCUUCACUGCCCUUCUCCUGGUGGGGACGGAGUUACGGAGCAGUGCUUCGUGGGGCACUUACUCUGCACAGCUCCCCAGGUGGGGAUGCAGCUCACGCAGCCAAAAGUGCUCCUUCAGCUGCCUCCUUUAAAGGCAAACUACACCAGUAGGGAUUGCACACCUGGAGCUGAACCAGAAUCCUGCAUACAAGACCCCCACUCAGCAGGAAAGCAGCCCAGGCCUUCAUAGAUAAGUGCAGUCAGCAGCACUCUGCGUUGCUCUGCUCAGACUGCAGCGCAGCUCCUGUCUGCCCCGGGAAAGGAUGUGAGCAAUCCCUGCCUGCCUCUGAUUCACCGAGGAACAGCCAGACCAAAAAUCACUCCAGAUAAAAAACGCUAAGCUUGGCUUCACUGAUAAUUUAUCUAAUGGCUGGGAAGAUUGGGCUAAUAGAAGGGAGACGAGAGAGAGCAGCACUACAUUGCUAUGGAAACCAGAAUUUUCAAAAUAAAUACCUUUGCAGAACUGAGGUUGCAGAUCUAAAAUAGUCCAUGGCGUUUCUGACGUUUCCUCCCUUUGCCACCAGCCCCUUCCAGGCUGAGCAGCCUGCGGUGACACGGGAUAUCCCACGGCUCAUGUUCCUUAUUCCACUGCUGGGCCCUGAAUAGAAACCUUUGGGCCGUGCCUGUAUUUUUGGGGCCUGCAGACUGGCAGGUCGGUGCAGAACGAGUCCACGAGCACCUGGAGGGGAAGGUGUUAUUUUUAUCCCGGUACAUUGGGAUAUAUGGAUAUAUUCCUCGGCGACCCGAGACAAUACGGUAUAUAAAGCAAACCCUCUUUGCGAAGCUCCGCUCCCUGGGAAGCUCCUUACCCUACAAAUGACCCCGGUGCAAUUACCGUUCAGCCUUUUGCUCCCUGUUAGCCCCAUUUCAUCCCGGAUGGCGUUUGGGCAGAAGGGCUCCCGCAGCCCACACCUCCCGCACCGCCUCGCUGCUGCUGCAAACAAGUCUGGGCUCCGGCAGUGCUGACUCACGGUGCUGAG